UGGGGAAUAUUGCGCAAUGGGCGAAAGCCUGACGCAGCAACGCCGCGUGCGGGAUGAAGGCCCUCGGGUUGUAAACCGCUUUCAGCAGGGACGAAAUUGACGGUACCUGCAGAAGAAGCCCCGGCCAACUACGUGCCAGCAGCCGCGGUAACACGUAGGGGGCAAGCGUUGUCCGGAUUUAUUGGGCGUAAAGAGCUCGUAGGCGGUUCGGUAAGUCGGGUGUGAAAACUCUGGGCUCAACUCAGAGACGCCACUCGAUACUGCUGUGACUAGAGUCCGGUAGGGGAGUGUGGAAUUCCCGGUGUAGCGGUGAAAUGCGCAGAUAUCGGGAGGAACACCAGCGGCGAAGGCGGCACUCUGGGCCGGUACUGACGCUGAGGAGCGAAAGCGUGGGUAGCAAACAGG
RNAcentral lists this ribosomal RNA (405 nucleotides) under uncultured bacterium. Its description in RNAcentral is "bacterial SSU rRNA". It matches the Rfam family "Bacterial small subunit ribosomal RNA", at positions 355 to 776 of the family's 1533-position model. The record is from RNAcentral.